Paramuricea clavata is the source of this 784-nucleotide non-coding RNA. Lineage: Eukaryota; Metazoa; Cnidaria; Anthozoa; Malacalcyonacea; Plexauridae. The record is from the annotation of a GenBank genome assembly.
CGAGUAAUCGCGGUUUGAAAAUGGGGCAUUUUCGGUAUACUAUGUCGCCCAUCGCGGGAAUAAUCACCGCAUGGGAAUUAUGGCUCGAGGAAAAUUUAUACUGUACGAGUCGUUAUUAUUUUUGUUUUAUUUCGAAGAAUGUGCAUAUAUGUCGAUCGUUGUUGAGUUUAACUGCUGCAUUUAAGUUAAAUACACUGUUAUUUUACCAUUAUUUUUAUAGAAUUCGAAUAUAUUUUGUGAAAAUGGAAUCUGAUGAUGGCAAUGUUGUUUAUAUUGUUGAUCCUAAGUAUGGGAAAAGUUGAACUUAUGAAUUUAAUGCUGAUUUAGAACUGUUAUUGAGCAAACUGUUCCUACAUCCCGCUUUGGCAAAUGGUAUAACAUCUAAUCCAGUCAAGUUGUGCUCAUGACCAUUCAACUGAUUCAAGCAAUGAAACUAUUGAACCAGAAUAAUAAGAGCAACCUGUUAUAUAAAUUUGCCCAUACCUGCCUUUUAAUAGAUACAUAUUUUAGUAGACAUUUUACAUAUAAAUAUUGGUGUAUUGGUGACAUGAAAAUGUUGCAAUUAAUCUUAAGUAUUUACUUUAUAUAUUGUAACUUUGAAUAAAGCAUUUUAUUAACAUCAAUUAUGUAUGACCACUGCAUUUAUAUGACCACCAAAUAUCAGGGGUGGAUUUACUGGGGGGUGUGCACCCCCCACCUAGCCCUGGCCAGAGGGUAUGCAGGGGGGGGGGGUAUUUUCAUGAUAAAGCAAAAAAUAUUAGAGACAAAAUUUGAGUAAUAACAU